GAAUGUUGGACAGUGGGCGAAAGCCUGCUCCAGCAAUGCCGCGUGCAGGAUGAAGGCCUUCGGGUUGUAAACUGCUUUUGUACGGAACGUAAAGCUUUAGGUUAAUACCCCGGAGACAUGACGGUAGCGUAAGAAUAAGCACCGGCUAACUACGUGCCAGCAGCCGCGGUAAUACGUAGGGUGCAAGCGUUAAUCGGACUUACUGGGCGUAAAGCGUGCGCAGGCGGGUUUGUAAGACAGAGGUGAAAUCCCCGGGCUCAACCUGGGAACUGCCUUUGUGACUGCAAGUCUAGAGUACGGCAGAGGGGGGUGGAAUUCCGCGUGUAGCAGUGAAAUGCGUAGAUAUGCGGAGGAACACCGAUGGCGAAGGCAACCCCCUGGGCCGGUACUGACGCUCAUGCACGAAAGCGUGGGGAGCAAACA
RNAcentral lists this ribosomal RNA (423 nucleotides) under uncultured bacterium. Its description in RNAcentral is "partial 16S ribosomal RNA". It matches the Rfam family "Bacterial small subunit ribosomal RNA", at positions 359 to 774 of the family's 1533-position model. The record is from RNAcentral.